GAAGUGCGAUAAGCAAUGCGAAUUGCAGAAUUCCGCGAAUCAUCAGAUCUUUGAACGCAAAUGGCGCUAGAGGGAUAUCCUUCUGGCAUGUCUGUUUCAGUGUCUGAGAGGUUUCACACUUACCUUAAUGUGAUUGAACUGAAGUCAGUCAGUUUUAUAACUAACUUUCUUUUGUUCUCUCAUGAAAGAUGCGCGAGGGGAUCUUUCGGUCCAAUGAAGUGGUCACAUCACUCGAAUGUGAUUUCAUUGGAAGCACCGAAUUAUCAUUACCAAACUCGCGGUACCAUCAAAUCAAAAAAUGACGAUGAUAUUUCAUUAUCAUCAUUUUACUCUCUACAACCUGCAUCUGAGAUAGGCAAGAUCACCCGCUGAACUUAA
Molecule: unclassified non-coding RNA, 378 nt
Filed under: uncultured fungus
Lineage: Eukaryota; Fungi
Description: sequence contains ITS1
Rfam family: 5.8S ribosomal RNA (bases 1-105)
Source: RNAcentral